GAUGAAGAACGUAGCGAAAUGCGAUACUUGGUGUGAAUUGCAGAAUCCCGUGAACCAUCGAGUCUUUGAACGCAAGUUGCGCCUCAAGCCAUUAGGUUGAGGGCACGUCUGCCUGGGCGUCACAUAUCGUUGCCUGAUGCCAGUUUCCUCGUGAUGGGUGACUGUGCAGGGCGAAUGAUGGCUUCCCGUGAGCAUUGUUGCCUCAUGGUUGGUUGAAAAUUGAGUCCUUGGUAGGGAGCGCCGUGAUAGAUGGUGGUUGAGUGACGAACGAGACCCAAUCAUGUGAGACCCCUACCGAAUUUGGCCUUCAUGACCCACAUGCGUCUUUGGAACGCUCAUGACGAGACCUCAGGUCAGGCGGGGCUACCCGCUGAGUUUAAGCAUAUCAAUAAGCGGAGG
Molecule: unclassified non-coding RNA, 399 nt
Filed under: soil metagenome
Description: partial contains 5.8S ribosomal RNA, internal transcribed spacer 2, and large subunit ribosomal RNA
Rfam family: 5.8S ribosomal RNA (bases 1-122)
Source: RNAcentral